GGUACCUCACACGAAGGCGAGUCCAGAGAUACAAUCGCCAUCAUAUUUUACAUCACAGGCAUUUAUAUUACAAUAGUUUCCAACAGUAGCAUCAGUUCCAAACUGAUAGGAUUUAUUAUAAACCGGUUCAAGGUUUCAAGUUUACGGCAGCGGAACUUAAAACACGAUCACUAUACAUGUCGCCAGUACGGACAUCAUGCUAAGCCCUGGCAUGACAUCACUCGGUAUGAUCAGUGUUGGCUGAGGACGGGUCCCAUUC
Molecule: long non-coding RNA, 259 nt
Filed under: Panicum hallii
Lineage: Eukaryota; Viridiplantae; Streptophyta; Magnoliopsida; Poales; Poaceae
Description: long non-coding RNA (PHAL_LNC000659)
Source: RNAcentral